This is a long non-coding RNA of Thalassophryne amazonica, 133 nucleotides long. RefSeq lists it as uncharacterized. NCBI's taxonomy places the organism in Eukaryota, Metazoa, Chordata, Actinopteri, Batrachoidiformes, Batrachoididae. The record is from RefSeq and is a predicted model, not a curated record. The transcript has 2 exons.
AUGACCAACCUGGAGAGCAAAGCUGAGGCUGGAGUAGAAACAACCCCAAAAGCUGAUGUGGACACAGCAGAGGAAGCGGUAGCAUCUGUGGACUAAAGCCCAUUUGAAGUUUUAAAUAAACUUGUUGCUUUUC